Molecule: ribosomal RNA, 567 nt
Filed under: Photobacterium sp. 3-4double-prime-E6
Lineage: Bacteria; Pseudomonadati; Pseudomonadota; Gammaproteobacteria; Vibrionales; Vibrionaceae
Also listed under: 1 other name
Description: bacterial SSU rRNA
Rfam family: Bacterial small subunit ribosomal RNA
Source: RNAcentral
GCAGCAGUGGGGAAUAUUGCACAAUGGGGGAAACCCUGAUGCAGCCAUGCCGCGUGUGUGAAGAAGGCCUUCGGGUUGUAAAGCACUUUCAGUAGGGAGGAAGGUAGUGUAGUUAACACCUGCAUUAYUUGACGUUACCUACAGAAGAAGCACCGGCUAACUCCGUGCCAGCAGCCGCGGUAAUACGGAGGGUGCGAGCGUUAAUCGGAAUUACUGGGCGUAAAGCGCAUGCAGGCGGCCUGUUAAGUCAGAUGUGAAAGCCCGGGGCUUAACCUCGGAAUUGCAUUUGAAACUGGCAGGCUAGAGUCUUGUAGAGGGGGGUAGAAUUUCAGGUGUAGCGGUGAAAUGCGUAGAGAUCUGAAGGAAUACCAGUGGCGAAGGCGGCCCCCUGGACAAAGACUGACGCUCAGAUGCGAAAGCGUGGGGAGCAAACAGGAUUAGAUACCCUGGUAGUCCACGCCGUAAACGAUGUCUACUUGGAGGUUGUGGCCUUGAGCCGUGGCUUUCGGAGCUAACGCGUUAAGUAGACCGCCUGGGGAGUACGGUCGCAAGAUUAAAACUCAAAUG